GUGGACGCCAGUCUGCGUGGAGCCGACCUUGAAAUACCACCCUUUAAUGUUUGAUGUUCUAACGUGGACCCGUAAUCCGGGUUGCGGACAGUGUCUGGUGGGUAGUUUGACUGGGGCGGUCUCCUCCUAAAGAGUAACGGAGGAGCACGAAGGUUGGCUAAUCCUGGUCGGACAUCAGGAGGUUAGUGCAAUGGCAUAAGCCAGCUUGACUGCGAGCGUGACGGCGCGAGCAGGUGCGAAAGCAGGUCAUAGUGAUCCGGUGGUUCUGAAUGGAAGGGCCAUCGCUCAACGGAUAAAAGGUACUCCGGGGAUAACAGGCUGAUACCGCCCAAGAGUUCAUAUCGACGGCGGUGUUUGGCACCUCGAUGUCGGCUCAUCACAUCCUGGGGCUGAAGUAGGUCCCAAGGGUAUGGCUGUUCGCCAUUUAAAGUGGUACGCGAGCUGGGUUUAGAACGUCGUGAGACAGUUCGGUCCCUAUCUGCCGUGGGCGCUGGAAGACUGAGGGGGGCUGCUCCUAGUACGAGAGGACCGGAGUGGACGCAUCACUGGUGUUCGGGUUGUCAUGCCAAUGGCACUGC
Molecule: ribosomal RNA, 578 nt
Filed under: Salmonella enterica
Lineage: Bacteria; Pseudomonadati; Pseudomonadota; Gammaproteobacteria; Enterobacterales; Enterobacteriaceae
Description: partial 23S ribosomal RNA
Rfam family: Bacterial large subunit ribosomal RNA
Source: RNAcentral